Anguilla anguilla (European eel) is the source of this 1041-nucleotide non-coding RNA. The record is from the annotation of a RefSeq genome assembly. Lineage: Eukaryota; Metazoa; Chordata; Actinopteri; Anguilliformes; Anguillidae.
ACUCUUCCAGUCUGCACUGACUCCCUGGGGGUGACAUCUCAAUGUGUGGAAACAGGAAGAGCUGUAUGCAAAUCUGGCCUGUGUGUCACCGUCUAUAACAGACCGUUCCUGUGAGAGCAGAGGGACAGUGAUGCGCGCCAGUCAAAGUCGUCCUCACUGCAACUGCACUGCAAAUAUGAUCCGUCUGCUCCUUCCCCUCUUGGCCUUCCUGCCAUGUCUGGACGCCAUCACUUUGACCUCCUCCCCCGCUCAGGCCAAGUCACCUGGAGGGUCCGUGAAGGUGUCCUGUCAGGUUUCUGGGUACGCCUUGACAGAUUACGGCACGAGCUGGAUUCGGAAGCGUCCGGGGAAAGCCAUGGAGUGGAUGGGAAUCAUCUGGGGAGGCGGAAGCAUCGACUCUCCCGCACCGUUCAAGAGCCGGUUCACCAUCUCCAGAGACAGCAGCAACAUGCUGUACUUGGAUAUCAGCAGCCUGCAGACUGAGGACACAGCCGUGUAUUACUGCGCUCGACUAACACAGUGACGCAGGGCGGUGCCACGUCUGUACAUAAACCCACAGGCUGCCUCAGAGACAAACGGCCUCGUGCUCCCCUCCAGAUCAGUGAGAGAAUCCUAAUGCUGGGCCAGCUGCAUUUUAUUAAGACUCCUGAAGGGGUACAGGUACAGCAUCGUUGCUACAUAAAAAGGCGAUAGAAAUAUUUAUAUACUGUGAUUCACACAAAUCCAUAAUCUACAGUUUUUACCUCUCUCCCGUCCCCACAUUCUUUCCUAUGGUACAGAGCCACAGACACAUAUUCAGCUUAUAUUUGUACAUUUUCACUUGAGUCUUCCCUGUAGUUUUUUUGGCUUUAUUCAGCAUUUAGAUUUUUGUUUCUUUUAUGUCUCGUUUUAUUGCGAAUAAAUGUGUUUCAACAAUUGAAUUUCAGGUGGGUUUUGAGCAUGGGAAUAAAAUAAAUAAUUGAUCAUUUUUAUUAAAACAAAUUCAAAACAUUUUAGAGCAAACAAGCUCUGAAAAGAAAUGGAGAUGGGUUUUGCAAAAAU